GUGCCAGCAGCCGCGGUAAUACGUAGGGUGCAAGCGUUGUCCGGAAUUAUUGGGCGUAAAGAGCUCGUAGGCGGUUUGUCACGUCUGCUGUGAAAUCCCGAGGCUCAACCUCGGGCUUGCAGUGGGUACGGGCAGACUAGAGUGCGGUAGGGGAGAUUGGAAUUCCUGGUGUAGCGGUGGAAUGCGCAGAUAUCAGGAGGAACACCGAUGGCGAAGGCAGAUCUCUGGGCCGUAACUGACGCUGAGGAGCGAAAGCAUGGGGAGCAAACAGGCUUAGAUACCCUGGUAGUCCAUGCCGUAAACGUUGGGAACUAGAUGUGGGGACCAUUCCACGGUCUCCGUGUCGUAGCUAACGCAUUAAGUUCCCCGCCUGGGGAGUACGGCCGCAAGGCUAAAACUCAAAGGAAUUGACGG
RNAcentral lists this ribosomal RNA (414 nucleotides) under Agrococcus jenensis. Its description in RNAcentral is "bacterial SSU rRNA". It matches the Rfam family "Bacterial small subunit ribosomal RNA", at positions 505 to 916 of the family's 1533-position model. The record is from RNAcentral. Lineage: Bacteria; Bacillati; Actinomycetota; Actinomycetes; Micrococcales; Microbacteriaceae.